UACGGGGGGGGCAAGCGUUGUUCGGAAUUACUGGGCGUAAAGGGCUCGUAGGCGGCCAACUAAGUCAGACGUGAAAUCCCUCGGCUUAACCGGGGAACUGCAUCUGAUACUGGAUGGCUUGAGUUCGGGAGAGGGAUGCGGAAUUCCAGGUGUAGCGGUGAAAUGCGUAGAGAUCGGCAGGAACACCCAGGGGGAAACCAGCCGACUGGGCAUCUGCUGACGCUGAUGUGCGAGAGCGUGGGGAGCGAACCGG
RNAcentral lists this ribosomal RNA (253 nucleotides) under uncultured bacterium. RNAcentral describes it as "partial 16S ribosomal RNA". It matches the Rfam family "Bacterial small subunit ribosomal RNA", at positions 524 to 776 of the family's 1533-position model. The record is from RNAcentral.